CAGGACGAACGCUGGCGGCGUGCCUAAUACAUGCAAGUCGAACGGUCUUUUCUAUGGAAGCUUGCUUCCACUGAGAAGAUAGUGGCGAACGGGUGAGUAACACGUGGGUAACCUGCCCAUAAGAGGGGGAUAACAUCCGGAAACGGGUGCUAAUACCGCAUAGUUUUCUUGGUCGCAUGAUCGGGAAAGGAAAGACGGCCUUUGUGCUGUCGCUUAUGGAUGGACCCGCGGCGUAUUAGUUAGUUGGUGAGGUAACGGCUCACCAAGACGAUGAUACGUAGCCGACCUGAGAGGGUGAUCGGCCACAUUGGGACUGAGACACGGCCCAAACUCCUACGGGAGGCAGCAGUAGGGAAUCUUCCGCAAUGGACGAAAGUCUGACGGAGCAACGCCGCGUGAGUGAAAGAAGGUUUUCGGAUCGUAAAACUCUGUUGUCAGAGAAGAACAAGUUGGAGAGUAACUGCUCCAGCCUUGACGGUAUCUGACCAGAAAGCCACGGCUAACUACGUGCCAGCCGCCGC
Molecule: ribosomal RNA, 521 nt
Filed under: uncultured bacterium
Lineage: Bacteria
Description: bacterial SSU rRNA
Rfam family: Bacterial small subunit ribosomal RNA
Source: RNAcentral